UGAAGAAAGAAGGAGAGCUAUUCUUAAUCGGCAAGUGUGUUUGGAGAAAUCAAUAGUCUGAGAUAAAGGAGACAGCACGCUGUUGCAGAAGAAUCGUGGUCGAUGCCGUCAAAUAAAUGAGAGAACGAUCCCAAUUGCAGUUUAUCUGUGGUUCAUCUGGCUUCAUCUCACACCACCUCUGUUGACAUGGGAGGGCUGCCGGCCCACAUCCGGGAAGUGUUAUGAAACCACCGGGGUUCCUCCCCUCCUUGCUCCAGGGAAGCCUGAGAGGGACCCUGCAGAUUGCAUUUGGAAUCCAUCUGCCAGGUGAACUAGACCCUUGGAGCCUCAGUUUCCUCCUCUCUGAAACAGGAACAGACACGCUUCCCUUGCCUGACUCCUGGAGUCACUGUGGGAAUAAAGUCAGAGCACCAGCUGCAUCAUCAUGUGACACAUCAAAACACGGAGGCCACUGUUCUUACUCAAGUCGUGGAAAUGUAACUUAUUUCCCACGCGAUGGGGAACAAAUAUUAAAAGAAAGAAGAUUCUUCUGUGUUGCCUGCUAUUGUUUUCUUGUGAUCUGGCAGCUCAGUAACUGGAAUGAGAGCCCCAGGGUGAAGAAAAGCUACCAAGCUACCCAGUA
Long non-coding RNA from Cercocebus atys (sooty mangabey), 622 nucleotides. RefSeq lists it as uncharacterized. The transcript is spliced from 3 exons. NCBI's taxonomy places the organism in Eukaryota, Metazoa, Chordata, Mammalia, Primates, Cercopithecidae. The record is from RefSeq and is a predicted model, not a curated record.